UGGACAGAUUAUUCUAUUCGACUGUAUUCACGGCGUGAAAUAGAGGAAUUACAAUGUUUUAAAACGGAAAGUGAAUCAAUUAAUAUAAUAGACUCCU
This 97-nucleotide microRNA precursor is filed under the name Nicotiana sylvestris (wood tobacco). Its description in RNAcentral is "MIR6152 microRNA precursor family". It matches the Rfam family "MIR6152 microRNA precursor family". The record is from Rfam by way of RNAcentral. Lineage: Eukaryota; Viridiplantae; Streptophyta; Magnoliopsida; Solanales; Solanaceae.